GCAUAUAUGUAUGUGUGUAUGUAUAUAUCAGUCUUCAUUUACAUUCUGUGUCUUCUGUUGUUGUACGAAUUCGUUAGGCUUAGGCAUUUUGUAAAUAAUCUAUAAAUAGUACGUAUUCCUAAGAGAGACCCUGCCCCUCCCCUCCACCACACUAAGAACCCAACUGUCAGCCCAAAAACACUUUUAAACUAACUUGAGAAUUAAUCAAAUUGUAUGAAACUAUGCCACACACUCCACACACACACAUGAAAUAAAAUUAAACAUAUAUAAAUAUUGUAUAGCAUUUAACAUUUAAUUAGCAUAAAUAAUGAAGGCAGCACACAGAAAACAAAAAAUGGUAAAAGCAUACAAAAAGAAAAAAGAACAUGAGAAUGCAAUUAUUAUUCAAUAAUUUUUAAUAUUAGUUAUAUUGUGCGUAAAGUAUGAAAAAAACACAUUUUUACAUUGAGCUAAGCUAAUUAAUUAAACUUGAUAAAACAAAUAGUUUAAAUAUGAAAAAAAAACACACUGAUACAAAUGAAAUUUAUUGUAAAAUAAACACAAUAUGAAAUUCAAUAAAUGUCAAUGCAAGAAUUAAAAUCCAAACUCUAAAGCUAGUUAAAAUUAAUACUAUUAUAAAUCAUGCAAAACACAAAAAAAAAAAACAGCCACAAAACCGACUAUUUUAAUGUUUGAAAUACAUGAAAAAAGUAAA
Drosophila guanche is the source of this 694-nucleotide long non-coding RNA. RefSeq lists it as uncharacterized. The transcript is spliced from 3 exons. Lineage: Eukaryota; Metazoa; Arthropoda; Insecta; Diptera; Drosophilidae. The record is from RefSeq and is a predicted model, not a curated record.